AUUGAACGCUGGCGGCAUGCUUUACACAUGCAAGUCGAACGGGCUGGGGGCAACUCCAGUCAGUGGCGAACGGGUGAGUAAUACAUCGGAACGUACCUCGUAGUGGGGGAUAACUCGGCGAAAGCCGUGCUAAUACCGCAUAUGCUCUACGGAGGAAAGCAGGGGACCGCAAGGCCUUGUGCUAUGGGAGCGGCCGAUGUCCGAUUAGCUAGUUGGUGAGGUAAUGGCUCACCAAGGCGACGAUCGGUAGCUGGUCUGAGAGGAUGGAUCAGCCACACUGGGACUGAGACACGGCCCAGACUCCUACGGGAGGCAGCAGUGGGGAAUUUUGGACAAUGGGGGCAACCCUGAUCCAGCCAUGCCGCGUGCGGGAAGAAGGCC
RNAcentral lists this ribosomal RNA (381 nucleotides) under uncultured bacterium. RNAcentral describes it as "bacterial SSU rRNA". It matches the Rfam family "Bacterial small subunit ribosomal RNA", at positions 30 to 416 of the family's 1533-position model. The record is from RNAcentral.